CCUACGGGUGGCAGCAGUGAGGAAUAUUGGUCAAUGGCCGCGAGGCUGAACCAGCCAAGUAGCGUGAAGGAUGACUGCCCUACGGGUUGUAAACCUCUUUUAUAAAGGAAUAAAGUGAGGCACGUGUGCCUUUUUGUAUGUACUUUAUGAAUAAGGAUCGGCUAACUCCGUGCCAGCAGCCGCGGUAAUACGGAGGAUGCGAGCGUUAUCCGGAUUUAUUGGGUUUAAAGGGUGCGUAGAUGGGUUGUUAAGUCAGUUGUGAAAUUUUGCGGCUCAAACGUAAAAUUGCCGUUGAUACUGGCAUCCUUGAGUACAGGUGAGGUAGGCGGAAUGCGUGGUGUAGCGGUGAAAUGCUUAGAUAUCACGCAGAACUCCGAUUGCGAAGGCAGCUUACUA
This 396-nucleotide ribosomal RNA is filed under the name uncultured bacterium. RNAcentral describes it as "partial 16S ribosomal RNA". It matches the Rfam family "Bacterial small subunit ribosomal RNA", at positions 338 to 731 of the family's 1533-position model. The record is from RNAcentral.